CAGAAUGUGAGCAAAACAACAAACAUGGCACGUCUGAUGUGCGAUGCGAUCGCAGAUAUUUAUGUUCUAAUUUCCUAAAGAGUGACUAUCAGAUGCUCUAAAAUAUUUUUCACGUACGCUUUGUUACUGCGAUUGUCUAUUAUGGCGCUUCUCGUGAGGGCAAUGCCAGUGUCACCAAAAAUGAGUAUCCGUGGAAGUUUUCACCCUUCAUUAUCCCUCUCGACGGAUGAACCAUCAAGUGGCAGUAUUGUUUACACCAGUUUGUCUGACCAGAACGAGGGUUAUGAUGCCCAUUACUAACCUUCCUCAAUAAGGCACAAGUUCUUUAGUGCUCCUUGCCGUCAAUGUCUUCUGGGCGACAAUCAAUCAUCCUAAAGAACCCGUUUCUCUCUGCAGCAGCAUUUUUAAUGGUUGAUUCUCUGCCAUUCAAUAGAAGUAUGUAUUCAAGUAGCUCACCUGUCUCACUUCCACCCCUGUAGCAGUUAUUCUAAUUACUGGCCCAUUCUAUCAGUAGAAAAUACCCUGAACUUCAA
Molecule: long non-coding RNA, 533 nt
Organism: Frankliniella occidentalis (western flower thrips)
Lineage: Eukaryota; Metazoa; Arthropoda; Insecta; Thysanoptera; Thripidae
Exons: 3
Source: RefSeq, a predicted model, not a curated record